AGAUAUUCCAUCUGGAUGGCAUGUGGAAGAGGGGGAUUUAAGUGGUGAAGGUAUUCAACCUGACAUGCUGGUUUCUCUAACUGCCCCAAAAUUGUGUGCCAAAAGGUUUUCUGGCUCGCACCACUUUUUAGGUGGCAGAUUUGUUCCACCAUCCAUCAGAAACAAAUUUAAUCUUCAAUUACCAGCAUAUCCUGGCACUUCCAUGUGUGUCCGUAUUGGCAAGCCCCCAAAAAUUGACAUAUCAUCUCUGAGGGAGAACUAUAUUUCUCCUGCGUUGCUUGAGGAAGAGGUCGUCGCUGACCCCUUUGAUCAGUUCCAAAAGUGGUUUGAUGAUGCAAUGGUCGCAGGCUUGAAGGAACCAAAUGCCAUGGCCUUGUCAACUACUGGCAAAGAUGGCAAGCCUUCAUCAAGGAUCGUAUUGCUGAAAGGGUUUGACAAGGAUGGUUUUGUCUGGUACACCAAUUAUGAAGGCAGAAAAGGUCAACAAAUAGCUGAAAAUCCUCAUGCCGCACUCCUCUUUUAUUGGGAUGAUUUGAACCGCCAGGUAAGAAUCGAAGGGCCGGUGCAAAAAGUUUCUGAUGAGGAAUCUGAGCAAUAUUUCCACAGUCGUCCUCGGGGAAGUCAGAUUGGUGCCAUAGUUAGCCAGCAGAGCACAGUUAUUCCAGGAAGGCAUGUCCUCCUUGAUGAAUACAAACAGUUGGAGGCAAAAUACUCUGAUGGAUUCGUGAUUCCCAAACCAAAACACUGGGGAGGGUACCGGCUUAAACCUGAAAUGUUUGAAUUUUGGCAGGGACAGAAAUCUCGCUUGCAUGACAGGUUGCGUUACAUCCCGGAAACAGCUGAUGGAAAAACAGUGUGGAGGAUUGAGCGAUUGGCUCCAUGACUUUUGUUGAGAGCAUCCUCUUUAUGAGAAUGCCAAUUUGUUGUACUUCCCUUUUCUCCUCUCACCGCCUUGUUGAUCAUGAGUGUAUAUUGUGGAGUCGAGGCAACUUUCCAGGCACCAAUAAAAUUUGUUACCGUUUUUAUCAGACUACUGGUUAAUAU
Molecule: unclassified non-coding RNA, 1044 nt
Filed under: Hevea brasiliensis (rubber tree)
Lineage: Eukaryota; Viridiplantae; Streptophyta; Magnoliopsida; Malpighiales; Euphorbiaceae
Source: RNAcentral